RNAcentral lists this ribosomal RNA (400 nucleotides) under uncultured bacterium. RNAcentral describes it as "bacterial SSU rRNA". It matches the Rfam family "Bacterial small subunit ribosomal RNA", at positions 355 to 747 of the family's 1533-position model. The record is from RNAcentral.
UAGGGAAUAUUCCGCAAUGGGCGCAAGCCUGACGGAGCAACGCCGCGUGAGUGAUGAAGGUUUUCGGAUCGUAAAGCUCUGUCGUAAGGGAAGAAAUAGCUGGAACUAAUAUUUCCAGAAGUUGACGGUACCUUAAAAGAAAGCACCGGCUAACUACGUGCCAGCAGCCGCGGUAAUACGUAGGGUGCUAGCGUUGUUCGGAAUUAUUGGGCGUAAAGCGCGUGUAGGCGGAUUAGUAAGUCAGAUGUGAAAGCCCUGGGCUCAACCUGGGAAGUGCAUCUGAAACUGCUGAUCUUGAGUAUGGGAGAGGGUGACGGAAUUCCUGGUGUAGUGGUGAAAUACGUAGAUAUCAGGAGGAACAUCGGUGGCGAAGGCGGUUGCCUGGCCCAAUACUGACGCU